RNAcentral lists this ribosomal RNA (512 nucleotides) under uncultured bacterium. Its description in RNAcentral is "bacterial SSU rRNA". It matches the Rfam family "Bacterial small subunit ribosomal RNA", at positions 523 to 1036 of the family's 1533-position model. The record is from RNAcentral.
AUACGGAGGGUGCAAGCGUUAAUCGGAAUUACUGGGCGUAAAGCGCGCGUGGGCGGUUUUUUAAGUCGGAUGUGAAAGCCCCGGGCUCAACCUGGGAACUGCAUCCGAUACUGGAAGACUAGAGUGCGGGAGAGGGAGGUAGAAUUCCAUGUGUAGCAGUGAAAUGCGUAGAUAUUAGGAGGAACACCAGUGGCGAAGGCGACUCUCUGGGCCAAUACUGACGCUGAGGUUCGAAAGCGUGGGUAGCGAACAGGAUUAGAUACCCUGGUAGUCCACGCAGUAAACGAUGAAUGCUAGAUGUUGGAAACAUUAGUUUUCAGUAUCGCAGCUAACGCAUUAAGCAUUCCGCCUGGGAAGUACGGCCGCAAGAUUAAAACUCAAAGGAAUUGACGGGGCCCGCACAAGCGGUGGAGUAUGUGGUUUAAUUCGACGCAACGCGCAGAACCUUACCUGGGCUUAACAUUCACUGACAGCUCUAGAGAUAGAGUUUUCUCUUCGGAGACGGUGGGAUA